AUUGAACGCUGGCGGCAUGCCUUACACAUGCAAGUCGAACGGUAACAGGUCUUCGGAUGCUGACGAGUGGCGAACGGGUGAGUAAUACAUCGGAACGUGCCUAGUAGUGGGGGAUAACUACUCGAAAGAGUGGCUAAUACCGCAUGAGAUCUACGGAUGAAAGCAGGGGAUCGCAAGACCUUGUGCUACUAGAGCGGCCGAUGGCAGAUCAGGUAGUUGGUGGGAUAAAAGCUUACCAAGCCGACGAUCUGUAGCUGGUCUGAGAGGACGAUCAGCCAAGCUGGGACUGAGAGACGGCCCAGACACCUAGGGGAGGCAGCAGUGGGGACUUUUGGAGAAUGGGGGAAAGCCUGAUCCAGCAAUGCCGCGUGCAGGAAGAAGGCCUUCGGGUUGUAAACUGCUUUUGUACGGAACGAAAAGCCCCGGGUUAAUACCCUGGGGUCAUGACGGUACCGUAAGAAUAAGCACCGGCUAACUACGUGCCAGCAGCCGCCGUAA
This 498-nucleotide ribosomal RNA is filed under the name uncultured bacterium. Its description in RNAcentral is "partial 16S ribosomal RNA". It matches the Rfam family "Bacterial small subunit ribosomal RNA", at positions 30 to 523 of the family's 1533-position model. The record is from RNAcentral.